GAGGUGGUGGCCCGCAUGCGCAGCAGGUUCGGGUUCUUAUCUUGCUCCGCAGCGUCGUCCCCAACAGACGCCAGGUGCACUCGCUCCGCUCCCCGCCGGGCUCUGCCAGCUAUCACCGCGACAGCAGCAACAGGCGCUCCAUCUCCCACCGCCGCGGCCAGCGUCCCUCCUGCCCCCGUGGCCGCCGACCACUUGAGCCUCCGACGCCGACGCGCUGCUGCAGGCACCACCACCACUGUUGAUGCCGCUACGCUGGUGCUACGCCGUCCCAUACCUCCGAAGGAGCGGACCCGAGCCCGCGCAGUCGUGCCGCAGCCCGGCAACGGCCACCGCAGCUCCGGCCGAGUGCGUGCCUGUCCCGCGGGUUCCCACUCGGCGGCGCCGCACACCCGCCCGACUCGGCCCGCAAGGUGGUGCUACGCCGCCCCUACUUUCGGCGGAGCGGCCCCGAACACCCCGUCGUGCCGCAGCCCGGCAACUCGUCUAGAAGAGGUAGGAGCUCAGGUUGAAGGACAAACCGCGCGUCCGCGACCUCGGCCGUCCCCGUACGAGACGCCCCGCGCGAGCGGCGCCGGCACGACCAUUCCGAGCUCGCGACUGACGCCCUCGACAGGCCCUUGGGGCUCCGGGCGCAUCACCUGAUAAAGUUCGUCCCAGGCCGCGGCCUACCAAGGACCGCCGACGCAACAAGCGCGCGGCCUACGGCCGCCUCCGCCGCACGCUGCAGCACCGGUUCUUGGCGUUCCACAAGAGGCCCGCGGUGCCGGCGCCACCCAAGAAGAGGCCCCGGCUACGUCCAAAACCUUAACGAACUUCAACAUGUCAAGUCUACAGGUAUGUGAAGUUACAUUAUGGGAGUCGACGAAAGGUUAGACUCUCAACUUAGCUUCCACACGUAAACUUGGGCACUUUAAUAAUAAAACAAAAAAGCAUAGAGUAGUCAAAAAACUAAGAAUCUAACUUCUCUAGGAUGCCUUAAGACGUUGUAGACUUAAACCAUCACAUAUAAUAAAAAGCCUCUCUCUACAGAGUUCUUGACGCGUGUGUUAACUCGCUCAGACUCUUUCCUCUCGAUUUUCCUAGCAAGGUAGUAUACGACUUUACCCGGACCUCUAUAUUAUUUAUAGAACUUCUUGUCCGUCGGGUCGAAGUGUACAAUUGAUCGACCAGCUUUUAACAACUUUGUAAAGCUUCGUUCGGCGAUUCGGGUUCAGAGCUUAGUCCUAACAGCAGCAAGCAGUCAAGGUUGAUCCUGUAACACCGCCGUUGCCACCCUAAACCCAGCCGCUCGACGUCCCUAAACGACCUGCGCGCGGUAGUGUACAGCUCGGUGUGUAUCACUGGCUACCACCGCCUAAUCUCAACCUUAGGUUCUCCAAACACACCAAAGUCAAUAGGCCACUAACCCGUUCUCGCCUCGUUGUCUCCGGCCGGUUCUUGUACUGGUCCCUAUUGUGUAGAACGAGCUAAAGGGCUCGCUGGGUUCCAACCAACGUAGGACGUACUGGAGUAUAACAAAUACUCUCAAAACACUACAAGAAAGAAAUCUCUUCAAAACACUAGAAUUAAGUACUCUGUAAACUGCACUAUGAUACACCGACAUUUGCAUUAGACGUUAAGUCUCGUUUGUCUCACUUGUUUGGUUCCUGUACUUCCAAUCAGGCAAUCACAGAAUGAAAAGAAAAACAUUAAGAUAGCAUGACAUAUCAAUCAUGUUUUAGUAGUUUAUAAGUCCUAUACAAAUGUUAAAACACUUUGACUUUACACGUUGUACAAGUCACCUGACCACUUAAUAUUAAAACACUUUGACUUUACACAAUGACUUUGGACUGGCCACUACUUGAUUGGCUAAGUGUGUUCCCGAACGACUAUUGUUGAACUCAACCGGCUCAGAGCGGCUCAACUCGCACCUCAUCUUCCACAGCUCACUUGAACUCAGUCACAGUAAGCGACAUUACUAGCGGGCCCGCCGGAACAUCGACAGAGUCUACCUCAAGUCCCCUUUCUGGUUCUCCUCCACGCUAUUCUAACUCGAAAGGUCUUAAAACCCCUCCACCGCGAACAGCGUGACGUUUUGAAAAUAAACAUAUACAACGUACGAUGAUGGAGGAUUAGUUAUACAGUAACUUUACUUCAUCUACGUCGAGAAGUAUCUAUAACAGUGUACAAGACCAAACGUCCAAUUUAUAAACUACGGGAGCAAAACCAUUACUCUCGUUACGUUAUAAGACUUCCAGUGUGUACACUCCCUUUGACCGUGCACAGAUAGAGAAUUCGACCUUUGACGUUAAACACAAGACUCGAUACUCGAGGUUUAUUUAAUCAAAAGAGAC
This 2333-nucleotide ribosomal RNA is filed under the name Triticum aestivum (bread wheat). RNAcentral describes it as "partial small subunit ribosomal RNA". Lineage: Eukaryota; Viridiplantae; Streptophyta; Magnoliopsida; Poales; Poaceae. The record is from RNAcentral.